GACGAACGCUGGCGGCGUGCCUAAUACAUGCAAGUAGAACGCAGUUGCGAACGGGUGAGUAACGCGUAGGUAACCUGCCUCAUAGCGGGGGAUAACUAUUGGAAACGAUAGCUAAUACCGCAUACUGUGAGAUGGACCUGCGUUGUAUUAGCUAGUUGGUGAGGUAAAGGCUCACCAAGGCGACGAUACAUAGCCGAACUGAGAGGUUGAUCGGCCACGCUGAGACGGAGACACGGCCUAGACUCGUACGAGAGGCAGUGGUAGGGACUCUGCGGGAAUGGACGGGAGUAUGACCGAGCAACGCAGCGUGAGUGAUGAGGGUUUUCGGAUCGUAAGGCUCUGUUGUUAGUGAAGCAGUAACUAACCAGAAAGGGACGGCUAACUAAGGGCGAGUGGCCGCGGUAAUAC
Molecule: ribosomal RNA, 408 nt
Filed under: uncultured bacterium
Lineage: Bacteria
Description: partial 16S ribosomal RNA
Rfam family: Bacterial small subunit ribosomal RNA
Source: RNAcentral